CAGUCGCCACGGUAAUACGUAGGUGGCAAGCGUUGUCCGGAAUUAUUGGGCGUAAAGGGCUCGCAGGCGGUUUCUUAAGUCUGAUGUGAAAGCCCCCGGCUCAACCGGGGAGGGUCAUUGGAAACUGGGAAACUUGAGUGCAGAAGAGGAGAGUGGAAUUUCACGUGUAGCGGUGAAAUGCGCAGAGAUGUGGAGGAACACCAGUGGCGAAGGCGACUCUCUGGUCUGUAACUGACGCUGAGGAGCGAAAGCGUGGGGAGCGAACAGGAUUAGAUACCCCAGUAGUCCCUGUCUCUUAUAA
Molecule: ribosomal RNA, 301 nt
Filed under: uncultured bacterium
Lineage: Bacteria
Description: partial 16S ribosomal RNA
Rfam family: Bacterial small subunit ribosomal RNA
Source: RNAcentral